UACGAAGGGACCUAGCGUAGUUCGGAAUUACUGGGCUUAAAGAGUUCGUAGGUGGUUGAAAAAGUUGGUGGUGAAAUCCCAGAGCUUAACUCUGGAACUGCCAUCAAAACUUUUCAGCUAGAGUAUGAUAGAGGAAAGCAGAAUUUCUAGUGUAGAGGUGAAAUUCGUAGAUAUUAGAAAGAAUACCAAUUGCGAAGGCAGCUUUCUGGAUCAUUACUGACACUGAGGAACGAAAGCAUGGGUAGCGAAGAGGAUUAGAUACCCUCGUAGUCCAUGCCGUAAACGAUGUGUGUUAGACGUUGGAAAUUUAUUUUCAGUGUCGCAGCGAAAGCGAUAAACACACCGCCUAGGGAGUACGACCGCAAGGUUAAAACUCAAAUGAAUUGACGGGGACCCGCACAAGUAGUGGAGCAUGUGGUUUAAUUCGAAGAUACGCGCAGAACCUUACCAACACUUGACAUGUUCGUCGCGACUCUAAGAGAUUAGAGUUUUCGGUUCGGCCGGACGAAACACAGGUGCUGCAUGGCUGUCGUCAGCUCGUGUCGUGAGAUGUUGGGUUAAGUCCCGCAACGAGCGCAACCCUCACUUUUAGUUGCCAUCAUUAAGUUGGGCACUCUGAAAGAACUGCCAGUGAUAAGCCGGAGGAAGGUGGGGAUGACGUCAAGUCCUCAUGGCCCUUACGUGUUGGGCUACACACGUGCUACAAUGGUAUCUACAACAGGAAGCAAGACUGCGAAGUUAAGCAAAUCCCUAAAAGAUACCUCAGUUCGGAUUGCACUCUGCAACUCGAGUGCAUGAAGCUGGAAUUACUAGUAAUCGUGGAUCAGCGUGCCACGGUGAAUGCGUUCCCGGGUCU
RNAcentral lists this ribosomal RNA (856 nucleotides) under uncultured bacterium. RNAcentral describes it as "bacterial SSU rRNA". It matches the Rfam family "Bacterial small subunit ribosomal RNA", at positions 524 to 1381 of the family's 1533-position model. The record is from RNAcentral.